Molecule: ribosomal RNA, 92 nt
Filed under: uncultured alpha proteobacterium EB000_37G09
Lineage: Bacteria; Pseudomonadati; Pseudomonadota; Alphaproteobacteria
Source: RNAcentral
CACCCGAUCCCAUUCCGAACUCGGCCGUGAAAGCUUGCAGCGCCGAUGGUACUUUGUCUUAAGGCACGGGAGAGUAGGUCGCUGCCUGGUCU